CCUACGGGAGGCAGCAGUGGGGAAUAUUGCACAAUGGGCGCAAGCCUGAUGCAGCAACGCCGCGUGAGGGACGACGGCCUUCGGGUUGUAAACCUCUUUUAGUAGGGAAGAAGCGAAAGUGACGGUACCUGCAGAAAAAGCACCGGCUAACUACGUGCCAGCAGCCGCGGUAAUACGUAGGGUGCAAGCGUUAUCCGGAAUUAUUGGGCGUAAAGAGCUCGUAGGCGGUUUGUCACGUCUGCUGUGAAAACUGGAGGCUCAACCUCCAGCCUGCAGUGGGUACGGGCAGACUAGAGUGCGGUAGGGGAGAUUGGAAUUCCUGGUGUAGCGGUGGAAUGCGCAGAUAUCAGGAGGAACACCGAUGGCGAAGGCAGAUCUCUGGGCCGUAACUGACGCUGAGGAGCGAAAGCAUGGGGAGCGAACAGGAUUAGGAUACCCUGGUAGUCCAUGCCGUAAACGUUGGGAACUAGAUGUAGGGACCAUUCCACGGUUUCUGUGUCGCNGCUACGACAUUACGUUCCCGUCCGUCGGGAGGUACGGCCGCCGACGGACGUAAACGUAACGAAAGGAAGUAGACGGCGUAGAGACGUACGACCGACGGACGACCGACGAGGGAGGUUAGG
This 623-nucleotide ribosomal RNA is filed under the name uncultured bacterium. RNAcentral's name for it is "bacterial SSU rRNA". The stretch from base 1 to 525 matches the Rfam family "Bacterial small subunit ribosomal RNA", at positions 338 to 873 of the family's 1533-position model. The record is from RNAcentral.